Molecule: ribosomal RNA, 1150 nt
Filed under: Cyrtomnium hymenophyllum
Lineage: Eukaryota; Viridiplantae; Streptophyta; Bryopsida; Bryales; Mniaceae
Description: eukaryotic LSU rRNA
Rfam family: Eukaryotic large subunit ribosomal RNA
Source: RNAcentral
UAGCAUAUCACUAAGCGGAGGAGAAGAAACUAACCAGGAUUUCCCUAGUAACGGCGAGCGAACCGGAAAGAGCCCAGCUUGAAAAUCGCGCCGCCUUCGGCGGCGCGAAGUGUAGCCUGGAGAAGGUCCCUCUGCGGCGCGCCGGACCCAAGUUCCCUGGAACGGGACGUCAGAGAGGGUGAAAACCCCGUCGAGUCCGGACCCGCGCCGCUCCACGAGGACCUGUCUGCGAGUCGGACUGUUUGGGAAUGCAGUCCUAAGUGGGUGGUAAAUUCCAUCCAAGGCUAAAUAUUGGCAAGAGACCGAUAGCGAACAAGUACCGCGAGGGAAAGAUGAAAAGGACUUUGAAAAGAGAGUUAAAAAGUGCUUGAAAUUGCUGGGAGGGAAGCGAAUGGAAGCUGCGGGUGCGCCCCGGUUGGAUGUGGAACGGGACCCCGGUCCUGGUCCGCCGCUCAACGCGGGGCGCUGGUCAGCGUGGGCUGUCGCGGCGGGACAAACCGGGGGGGCCUGACCCCCAAGGCCCCCCGCCGAAGGUUAUGCCGUUGCGACGGCCGAGGAACGAAGCGCGCGAGCACUCGUGCUCGUGGGACUCCGGUCCCAACUGCGCGCUCGGGACGCUGGCGCAUUGAGCUCUUCAUCCGACCCGUCUUGAAACACGGACCAAGGAGUCUAACAUGUAUGCGAGCCCGUGGGCGGCAAACCCAUCGAGGCGCAAGUAAACUGACAGGUGGGAGGGUGGAAACACUCGCACCAUCGACCGACCGUGAUCUUCUGUGAAAGGUUUGAGUGUGAGCACACAUGUUGGGACCCGAAAGAUGGUGAACUAUGCCUGAGCAGGGCGAAGCCAGAGGAAACUCUGGUGGAGGCUCGUAGCGAUACUGACGUGCAAAUCGUUCGUCAGACUUGGGUAUAGGGGCGAAAGACUAAUCGAACCAUCUAGUAGCUGGUUCCCUCCGAAGUUUCCCUCAGGAUAGCUGGAGCUCGCCGUCGCGAGUUUUAUCAGGUAAAGCGAAUGAUUAGAGGCAUCGGGGGUGUAACACCCUCGACCUAUUCUCAAACUUUAAAUGGGUAAGCCGCCGGGGUUGCUUCGCCUUGAACCCCGGCACAGAAUCGAGAGCUCCAAGUGGGCCAUUUUUGGUAAGCAGAACUG